AGUCCAGAGCGCGGAGACACUUGGCCAGCACGGCGGUGGCCCGCAGCGCGGCGGCCGGCGACAGCAGCGCGUCGGCGGCGGCCUCCAGGAACUGCGUGCGGAAGGCGCGCGAAAGUAUCUGCGGAUUUUCUUGCUUAUUCUUCAUCUGACCCGAAUAUUCAGACUGUGUGACCGGAUCAGUGUUUGAAUGCAAACAACCGGUCAAAAUUCCCGUGUAUAUUGACUGAAUAAUGUCUACUACUGUAAGCCACUAAAAAACAAAUGAAGAACUCAAUGUUGGCAGCUAUUUGAUGGCGACUUAGACUGUACGAGUAUAUCACUCGAUCGAUAUUCCUAUCAUAUAGAAAUCGCAAAUAUUAUAAUUUCGUCUAUGAAUACUAUACUAGUGGUAUGACCAUGUAAGGUUUUCCUAAUGUUUAUAAGUAAACGUUAGAAAUUCAUUUA
Melitaea cinxia (Glanville fritillary) is the source of this 444-nucleotide long non-coding RNA. RefSeq lists it as uncharacterized. The transcript is spliced from 2 exons. Lineage: Eukaryota; Metazoa; Arthropoda; Insecta; Lepidoptera; Nymphalidae. The record is from RefSeq and is a predicted model, not a curated record.